ACACGUAGUCAACCUGCCCUGGAGACGCGGACAAACCCGGGAAACUGGGGCCUAUCCGCGAUAGAUGACCUCAUCUGGAAGGAGAGGUCGUCCAAAAGGCGGCACGGGUAUGCUCUGUGCCUUCCGCUCCAGGAUGGGACUGCGGCCGAUCAGGCUGUUGGCGGGGUAAUGGCCCACCAAACCUGUAACCGGUACGGGCUUUGAGAGAAGGAGCCCGGAGAUGGACACUGAGACAAGGGUCCAGGCCCUACGGGGCGCAUCAGGCGCGAAAACUUCGCAAUGCGCGAAAGCGUGACGAGGCUAGUCCGAGUGCUCCCUGCUAAAGGGAGCUUUUCUCGGCUGUAAAUAGGCCGGGGAAUAAGGGGAGGGCAAGUCUGGUGUCAGCCGCCGCGGUAAUACCAGCUCCUCGAGUGGUCGGGACGAUUAUUGGGCCUAAAGCACCCGUAGCCGGUUUCGUAAGUCCUCUGUUAAAUCCAGUCGCUCAACGGCUGGCCUGCAGAGGAUACUGCGGGACUAGGAGGCGGGAGAGGCGGACGGUACUCCGCGUGUAGGGGUAAAAUCCUUUGAUCCGCGGAAGACCACCAGUGGCGAAGGCGGUCCGCCAGAACGCGCUCGACGGUGAGGGGUGAAAGCUGGGGGAGCGAACCGGAUUAGAUA
This 657-nucleotide ribosomal RNA is filed under the name uncultured archaeon. Its description in RNAcentral is "bacterial SSU rRNA". It matches the Rfam family "Archaeal small subunit ribosomal RNA", at positions 96 to 735 of the family's 1478-position model. The record is from RNAcentral.